This 247-nucleotide ribosomal RNA is filed under the name uncultured bacterium. Its description in RNAcentral is "partial 16S ribosomal RNA". It matches the Rfam family "Bacterial small subunit ribosomal RNA", at positions 523 to 769 of the family's 1533-position model. The record is from RNAcentral.
AUACGUAGGUGGCAAGCGUUGUCCGGAAUUAUUGGGCGUAAAGCGCGCGCAGGUGGUUUCUCAAGUCUGAUGUGUAAGCCCACGGCUCAACCGUGGAGGGUCAUUGGAAACUGGGAGACUUGCGUGCAGAAGAGGAUAGUGGAAUUCCAAGUGUAGCGGUGAAAUGCGUAGAGAUUUGGAGGAACACCAGUGGCGAAGGCGACUAUCUGGUCUGUAACUGACACUGAGGCGCGAAAGCGUGGGGAGC